This is a long non-coding RNA of Megalobrama amblycephala (Wuchang bream), 424 nucleotides long. RefSeq lists it as uncharacterized. NCBI's taxonomy places the organism in Eukaryota, Metazoa, Chordata, Actinopteri, Cypriniformes, Xenocyprididae. The record is from RefSeq and is a predicted model, not a curated record. The transcript has 2 exons.
CGCCGGCUUGCCUUCUUACCUUCUUCCCAUAGUGCAUCCUGGUGCCAUGUGUUCCCCAGGCCAAACGCCACAGCUGGGGCCGCAGAGCAACUGUUGGAGACACGACACAGCAGCACCAUCUCUGAGGUCAGAUGGUUCUCCUCACGUGUCAAUCUGCUUUGUGAAAGAUCCCCUGCACCAUCAGGAAAUGAUGCACAGACAUGGCAGUGUGAUAUGAUGACUGUGGCUACCGGUUUUACUGGAACAGUCAAAGGUUCACUUUAAUUGUUGACCUCAAAAUGCAUGAAGAAGGUCUUUAAUGGAAAGGUUUUAUCUAACAAAUAUUUGCAAGCUCCAAAAGUGUACAGAACGUUUUACAUUUUUUUCCUUUGAUCUGACUUGCCCACAAACACCAUGUAUGUGAGGGUGAUUUGUUUGUUAGAUU